This 289-nucleotide ribosomal RNA is filed under the name uncultured bacterium. RNAcentral's name for it is "partial 16S ribosomal RNA". It matches the Rfam family "Bacterial small subunit ribosomal RNA", at positions 773 to 1060 of the family's 1533-position model. The record is from RNAcentral.
GUGGAUUAGAUACCCUGGUAGUCCACGCCGUAAACGAUGGAUACUAGCUGUUGGAGGUAUCGACCCCUUCAGUAGCGAAGCUAACGCGUUAAGUAUCCCGCCUGUGGAGUACGGUCGCAAGACUAAAACAUAAAGGAAUUGACGGGGACCCGCACAAGCGGUGGAUCAUGUUCUUUAAUUCGAUGCUAAACGAAGAACCUUACCAGGGCUUGACAUCCAGGGAAGCACUACGAAAGUAGAGUGUGCCUUUUGGAACCCUGUGACAGAUGAUGCACGGCCGUCGUCAACU